Oncorhynchus mykiss (rainbow trout) is the source of this 2398-nucleotide long non-coding RNA. The record is from Ensembl. Lineage: Eukaryota; Metazoa; Chordata; Actinopteri; Salmoniformes; Salmonidae.
AUGAGAGGGUCGGGAAGUUCACGGGUUGAGGGGUCAUCGGAGGGGAAAGGCGUGGAUGGUCUCUGGAGAAAGUCCAGGGGCAGACGGGCAGCACGGUGUCAUCGAGGUGGCGCAAAACUCCACCUAUCAGAGGGCACGAUGGAGCUGUUACCAUAUGGCUUGUACCUAUCCAAUCCUUUCCUAUCCAGAGUAGGGAAUAGGGGUCAAGGUUUUUGGUUUAGGAUUCUGUUUAGUGCUCCCAAUUCUUUGCCUUCGUCCCAAUUCUCUUCCUUGCUCACAUAGUGUGUCCACUUGGCUUGCACACUCCCUGUCGUAGAUUUAAAAGCAUGGGAUUGGUAUAAGCAUUGGCUGGAGGGAGGAGGGGAGUUUCCAGCGUUGCUAAGUCCAUGCAACAACAAAAAAAAGUGUGCAAGUGCACACUUCAGGAGAGGGGAAAAAAAGGGUGGUGAUUCGGGAUGUGGCCUUCAAGCUCUCAUUGACGUUUGACAAGGCCUGUGGGAUGCAUCCCAAAUGGAACCUUGUUCCUUCUAUAGUGCACUACUCUAGAGCCCUGGUCAGGAAUAGGGUGUCUGUUUAGGGAAGAGGAAGAGGGCUCUGGUCAAACGAAGUGGUCUAUGUAGGGAAUAGGGUGUCUGUUUAGGGAAGAGGAAGGGGUCUAUGUAGGGAAUAGGGUGUCUGUUUAGGGAAUAGGGUGUCUGUUUAGGGAAGAGGAAGGGGUCUAUGUAGGGAAUAGGGUGGCCAGAGGACCAUUGUAUUAUGAUGAUGAUGAUGAUGAUGACUGUACAAUGUUUGCUUUACUGUUUGUGCUCAGUUCUAAUCCUUUAGGUUGUUUCCUAAUGGCAGGUCAAGCAAUAAAUCAAAUACAUUCUUACAAAGGGUGUCAACUGUGGUCAUUGAUGGUUUGUCUGAGGUGUGUCUCGUUCUCUCUGUGUGUAUGUCCAUUCUGAAGUCCUUCAUCACCAGAACUCUGCACAAUAGUCACUAACAGAGGAACCCACUGGACACAUGUCAUAUGUCCCAAAUUGCCCCUUAAAUCCCUAUGUGUGCACUACUUUUGACCAGAACCCAUUGGGCCCGUAGUGUACUACAUAGGGAAUAGGGUGUGAUUUUGGGAAGAACACAUUGUCAUUUACGGAGUUCAACUGCUGUCGGGGGGAAAAAAAAAAAACUUUCCCUUUAAACACGUUCGGUUUUUUUUCCGGGAGGUUCCGCCGGGAUUCGACACUGCCUCCCUCCGCUACUGCAGCCUGGUCGCGAGGAGCUGUACCAAUUCACUUAUUAUUAGCGAUAUCAGAAACUAUAAACAAUUUGCCAUUUUAAAACCAGGGAAUAGUCCGUCGUUGGAUACCACCACCCUCUGCGAAAUGCAGGCCAUCAAAUGCGUCGUGGUGGGCGAUGGGUAAGACCUUUUGUGUGUGUGUUUAGGCUGAAAAUGUGUCCUUUUUCGAGUCUGUGAGGGCAAUUGUUGCAGUAAGGGCUGGGGCUAUAGCGGGUUGAAUGGGUCGGCGUUCACUUCUCUAGAAUCCGCUCUCUCAUCAGUGCGUGAGCGUGAAAUGAAUGUGGAGCAAUUACAUUUUUUAUUUUGUUAGCCUACUUUGUGAUUUCAUGUUAUCAAUGCAUUCGCCACAUUUUCCGCCAGGUUUUGCACAAUGCAUUCAUAAGUUCGGGUGUGAAAUAUUCUGUCUGAAAUUGAACUAAUGCUAUUUGAACGUUUCAUUGAAAUAUAAAAACAAUAAAUAACUAAAGCUUCUCGGAUUAACAACAUUUGGAAACCCAUAUUUGUCGGGGUGGGUUUGAGCAGAAUUGUAAAAUAUACAUUAAUAUGUGCAUAGUUGCAGAAAUGUCGCUGGGAGGGCUUGGCUGAGACUCAUUAAAUGAUGUCAUGCUUUCACACCUACACAGCCAGCUCCUACGGAGGCACGGGCUACGGAUGGGCAUGGACACCUAUGCAAAAUGCCGUGUUUUAUAUAGCCUUUCUACCAUAGACAUCUUUGAAAGACAGGUUUAUUUGACUUCUGCUACAUUGUGAUGCGGUGCGGAUGCGGCGUAGAUUUUGGGUAGUGUGUGGAGGUAGGGUGCACUGGACUGCAUAGCAUAGCUAAACAGAGGUGGGGGGGGGGGACUGUCUAGGAUUUUUUUUAGGGGAUGGGCAACACACACACACACAUGCGCAAUAUUGUACAACUACCCUAAUUCAGUCCCAUUCAAAACCCUAUUUUCCCUAACCCGUAAACUAACCCUAGUCUGGGUCCAAAAGCCUUCUUAACAGCUUCUACCCCCAAGACAUAAGACUCCUGACCAGCUAAUCAAAGGGCUACCCAGACCCUCUUAACACUGCUGCUACUCUCUGUUUAUUAUCUAUGCAUAGUCACUUUAACUCUACCUACGUGUACAUAUU